GCUCCAAUAGCGUAUAUUAAAGUUGUUGCAGUUAAAAAGCUCGUAGUUGAAUUUCGGGAUUGACACAUCGGUCGUGCCUUAAGGGGUAUGAACUGGUGUAGUCAAUUUCUCACCUUCUGGAGAACCGCGAUGCCCUCAAUUGGGUGUCACGGGGAACCAGGACCUUUACUUUGAAAAAAUUAGAGUGUUUAAAGCAGGCAUUUUGCUUGAAUACAUUAGCAUGGAAUAAUAAAAUAGGACGGCAUGAUUCUAUUUUGUUGGUUUCUAGGAUCACCGUAAUGAUUAAUGGGGAUAGUUGGGGGCAUUAGUAUUCAAUUGUCAGAGGUGAAAUUCUUGGAUCUAUUGAAGACUAACUACUGCGAAAGCAUUUGCCAAGGAUGUUUUCAUUAAUCAAGAACGAAAGUUAGGGGAUCGAAGACGAUCAGAUACCGUCGUAGUCUUAACCAUAAACUAUGCCGACUAGGAAUCAGACGAUGUUAAUWUUUWARCSMCUCGUUCGGCGCCUACGGGGAAAACAAAAAAGG
Molecule: ribosomal RNA, 524 nt
Filed under: Entrophospora sp.
Lineage: Eukaryota; Fungi; Glomeromycota; Glomeromycetes; Entrophosporales; Entrophosporaceae
Description: SSU rRNA
Source: RNAcentral